This 253-nucleotide ribosomal RNA is filed under the name uncultured bacterium. RNAcentral's name for it is "partial 16S ribosomal RNA". It matches the Rfam family "Bacterial small subunit ribosomal RNA", at positions 524 to 776 of the family's 1533-position model. The record is from RNAcentral.
UACGUAGGGUGCAAGCAUUAAUCGGAAUUACUGGGCGUAAAGCGUGCGCAGGCGGUGAUGUAAGACAGAUGUGAAAUCCCCGGGCUCAACCUGGGAACUGCAUUUGUGACUGCAUCGCUGGAGUGCGGCAGAGGGGGAUGGAAUUCCGCGUGUAGCAGUGAAAUGCGUAGAUAUGCGGAGGAACACCGAUGGCGAAGGCAAUCCCCUGGGCCUGUACUGACGCUCAUGCACGAAAGCGUGGGGAGCAAACAGG